RNAcentral lists this ribosomal RNA (738 nucleotides) under Shigella sonnei. RNAcentral's name for it is "partial 23S ribosomal RNA". It matches the Rfam family "Bacterial large subunit ribosomal RNA", at positions 2184 to 2916 of the family's 2925-position model. The record is from RNAcentral. Lineage: Bacteria; Pseudomonadati; Pseudomonadota; Gammaproteobacteria; Enterobacterales; Enterobacteriaceae.
AGUCGACCUUGAAAUACCACCCUUUAAUGUUUGAUGUUCUAACGUGGACCCGUGAUCCGGGUUGCGGACAGUGUCUGGUGGGUAGUUUGACUGGGGCGGUCUCCUCCUAAAGAGUAACGGAGGAGCACGAAGGUUGGCUAAUCCUGGUCGGACAUCAGGAGGUUAGUGCAAUGGCAUAAGCCAGCUUGACUGCGAGCGUGACGGCGCGAGCAGGUGCGAAAGCAGGUCAUAGUGAUCCGGUGGUUCUGAAUGGAAGGGCCAUCGCUCAACGGAUAAAAGGUACUCCGGGGAUAACAGGCUGAUACCGCCCAAGAGUUCAUAUCGACGGCGGUGUUUGGCACCUCGAUGUCGGCUCAUCACAUCCUGGGGCUGAAGUAGGUCCCAAGGGUAUGGCUGUUCGCCAUUUAAAGUGGUACGCGAGCUGGGUUUAGAACGUCGUGAGACAGUUCGGUCCCUAUCUGCCGUGGGCGCUGGAGAACUGAGGGGGGCUGCUCCUAGUACGAGAGGACCGGAGUGGACGCAUCACUGGUGUUCGGGUUGUCAUGCCAAUGGCACUGCCCGGUAGCUAAAUGCGGAAGAGAUAAGUGCUGAAAGCAUCUAAGCACGAAACUUGCCCCGAGAUGAGUUCUCCCUGACCCUUUAAGGGUCCUGAAGGAACGUUGAAGACGACGACGUUGAUAGGCCGGGUGUGUAAGCGCAGCGAUGCGUUGAGCUAACCGGUACUAAUGAACCGUGAGG